CGCAUCUGUGCAUGCAGCAUAUCAAUAAGCGGAGGAAAAGAAACUAACAAGGAUUCCCUCAGUAACGGCGAGUGAAGCGGGAAGAGCUCAAAUUUGAAAUCUUGAAAGGUCACCUUUCACGAAUUGUAGUUUAAAGAAGUGUUUUCUGUUACGAUCGUAAUAUGAGUUCUUUGGAAUAGGACAUCACAGAGGGUGAGAAUCCCGUCUAUGAUUGCGAUUUGUAGCUUUGUGAUACACUUUCAAAGAGUCGGGUUGUUUGGGAAUGCAGCCCAAAACGGGAGGUAAAUUUCUUCUAAGGCUAAAUAUUGGCGAGAGACCGAUAGCGAACAAGUACCGUGAGGGAAAGAUGAAAAGAACUUUGAAAAGAGAGUUAAACAGUACGUGAAAUUGUCAAAAGGGAAGCGUUUAACACCAGUGUUGUUUUCUGAAAAUCAACCUCUGUUAGCUUUAUGCAUGUUUGUUUAGACCUAAUCAGCUAUCUUGCAUGUUCUAUUGUUUGCAGUGGUGCACUUUUCAGUUUACAGGUCAACAUCAGUUUUUUUUACCGUAAAAAAGUUAAAGAAAGGUAGCUCAUGGCUCCGGUCGUGAGUGUUAUAGUCUUUUUUCCUAUGCGGUAGGAGAGACUGAGGUCUGCAGUGUAGGCUAUUUGGCUAGAUACUCAGGUGCUAUGUGAUACCAUUUCAUAAACAACUUGUUGAUUAUGUUUUGUCUAUUGCAUACUCGCUUGUACUAUCAUACCUACGCUUAGGAUGUUGAAGUCAUCGUAUCGCGC
This 772-nucleotide ribosomal RNA is filed under the name uncultured Neocallimastigales. RNAcentral's name for it is "partial large subunit ribosomal RNA". It matches the Rfam family "Eukaryotic large subunit ribosomal RNA", at positions 26 to 645 of the family's 3401-position model. The record is from RNAcentral. Lineage: Eukaryota; Fungi; Neocallimastigomycota; Neocallimastigomycetes; Neocallimastigales.